This 264-nucleotide long non-coding RNA is filed under the name Homo sapiens (human). Its description in RNAcentral is "non-protein coding lnc-FREM2-2:1". The record is from RNAcentral. Lineage: Eukaryota; Metazoa; Chordata; Mammalia; Primates; Hominidae.
AGGAAUGGUAUUCACCAGAUAGACACAUACCCAAGUGCCACCUUGGACCUCUGGGAGGCAAGGAUGGGUUCUGCCAGCAUGAGUGCCUUUCCCACAUUGCAAUUAUAAACCCUCCUGCUGAAUGGACGGGGCUCUCCACUAUCUGGAGUUCGUCUUAACAUUGGCAUUGCUUCCCAGACUGAGUGCUGCAACUACUGUGACAGGUGCUAUGAGACUGGGGGCAAAAGCAAGAACAACUGGGAAGAGAAGUUCCAGUAUUUAUUG